AUGCACGCUGGCGGCGUGCCUCAUCCCUGCCAGUCGCGCGAACAGACGAGGAGCUUGCUCCUUCGACGUUAGCGGCGGACGGGUGCGUAACACGUAGGUAACCUACCUAUAAGACUGGGCUAACUUCGGGAAACCGGAGCUAAUACCGGAUAAUCUUUCGAACCGCCUGGUUCGAUAGUGAAAGAUUGCUUUGCUAUCACUUAUAGAUGGACCUGCGCCGUAUUAGCUAGUUGGUAAGGUAACGGCUUACCAAGGCAACGAUACGUAGCCGACCUGAGAGGGUGAUCGGCCACACUGGAACUGAGACACGGUCCAGACUCCUACGGGAGGCAGCAGUAGGGAAUCUUCCGCAAUGGGCGAAAGCCUGACGGAGCAACGCCGCGUGAGUGAUGAAGGUCUUCGGAUCGUAAAACUCUGUUAUUAGGGAAGAACAAACGUGUAAGUAACUGUGCACGUCUUGACGGUACCUAAUCAGAAAGCCACGGCUAACUACGUG
Molecule: ribosomal RNA, 496 nt
Filed under: uncultured bacterium
Lineage: Bacteria
Description: partial 16S ribosomal RNA
Rfam family: Bacterial small subunit ribosomal RNA
Source: RNAcentral